MicroRNA precursor from Cricetulus griseus (Chinese hamster), 101 nucleotides. NCBI's taxonomy places the organism in Eukaryota, Metazoa, Chordata, Mammalia, Rodentia, Cricetidae. The record is from Ensembl.
GGAGAGAAAUGUCUCUAUGUAAAAAGAUUGUCAAGAAAGAGAGAUUAUUGGGCUGGAGAGAUGACUCAGCCGUUAAAGGCUAGGUUCACAACCAAAAUAUA